CCUACGGGAGGCUGCAGUGGGGAAUAUUGCACAAUGGAGGAAACCCUGAUGCAGCAACGCAGCGUGCGUGAAGAAGUAUUUCGGUAUGUAAAGCUCUAUCAGCAGGAAAGAAGAUGACGGUACCUGAUUAAGUAGCCCCGUCUAACUACGUGCCAGCAGCCGCGGUAAUACGUAGGGAGCAAGCGUUAUCCGGAUUUACUGGGUGUAAAGGGAGCGCAGACGGCAGUGCAAGUCUGGAGUGAAAGCCCGGGGCCCAACUCCGGAACUGCCUUGGAAACUGUGCGGCUAGAGUACUGGAGGGGCAGGCGGAAUGCAUAGUGUAGCGGUGAAAUGCGUAGAGAUUAGGCGGAACACCAGUGGCGAAGGCGGCCUGCUGGACAGUAACUGACGUUGAGGCUCGAAAGCGUGGGGAGCAAACAGGAUUAGAUACCCGGGUAGUC
RNAcentral lists this ribosomal RNA (440 nucleotides) under uncultured bacterium. Its description in RNAcentral is "partial 16S ribosomal RNA". It matches the Rfam family "Bacterial small subunit ribosomal RNA", at positions 338 to 795 of the family's 1533-position model. The record is from RNAcentral.